This 262-nucleotide ribosomal RNA is filed under the name Clostridioides difficile. RNAcentral's name for it is "partial 23S ribosomal RNA". It matches the Rfam family "Bacterial large subunit ribosomal RNA", at positions 1477 to 1737 of the family's 2925-position model. Lineage: Bacteria; Bacillati; Bacillota; Clostridia; Peptostreptococcales; Peptostreptococcaceae. The record is from RNAcentral.
GUAGGAUAAGCUAAGCACACUGUUGGUUAUGUGUGCCCAAGCAUUGAGGCAGUCAAAGUAGGCAAAUCCGCUUUGAUAAUGCUGGGAUGUGAUGGGGAGCGAAAUUUAGUAGCGAAGUAGCUGAUUUCACACUGUCAAGAAAAGUCUCUAUCGAGGUUAAAGGUACCCGUACCGCAAACCGACACAGGUGGGUGAGGAGAGUAUCCUAAGGCCAGCGAGAGAACUGUUGUUAAGGAACUCGGCAAAAUGACCCCGUAACUUA